RNAcentral lists this unclassified non-coding RNA (321 nucleotides) under Clostridioides difficile. RNAcentral's name for it is "16S-23S ribosomal RNA intergenic spacer (ISR)". The record is from RNAcentral. Lineage: Bacteria; Bacillati; Bacillota; Clostridia; Peptostreptococcales; Peptostreptococcaceae.
ACCUACUGUUUAAUUUUGAGGGUUCGUUUUUACGAAUACUCAAAAUUAGCACUUUAAGCAACGGGAUUUAUCCGUUGGCGCCGUGCUUUAGCACUUUUAGCAACAGAAUAAACUGAACGCAUGUGAAGUUUGUUUGUUGGCGCUGUGCGUUAGCACUUUAAGUAACGGGAUUUAUCCGUUGGCGUCGUGCGUUAGCGCUUUGAAAACUGCAUAUAUAUAUUUAGUGAUAUGACAUCUAAUUUGUAAUAUAUAAAGCUGAUAACUUUUUAAAAUUAUCGAAGUUGAUAGCUUCUAAUCUAUCAAACCUUUUUAACUGGUCAA